AGAGGCUGCGCUGCUCUGGGAAAAGUCAAACCAGUUCUGCACCAUGAGGAAGAAGCAGCCGAGGGCAGCAGCCGCUGCUCCGAACUGUGAGCUAAAAUCCUAUUCUAAGAGCACAGACCCUCAGGUAUCUACCAUGGUGUUGGAUCCUGAAGAAAAGAUGCCAGACGAUGGCGCUUCUGGGGACCAUGGAGACUCUGCCAGCCUUGGCGCCAUCAACCCUGCCUACAGCAACUCCUCCCUCCCACAUUCCACUGGCGACUCUGAGGAGCCCUUCACCACCUACUUUGACGAGAAAAUCCCCAUUCCUGACGAGGAGUACUCUUGUUUUAGCUUUCGAAAACUCUGGGCGUUCACAGGACCUGGCUUUCUUAUGAGCAUUGCCUACCUGGAUCCAGGAAACAUCGAGUCAGAUUUGCAGUCUGGAGCAGUGGCUGGGUUUAAGCUUCUCUGGGUGCUCCUCUUGGCCACCAUCGUGGGGCUGCUGCUCCAGCGCCUUGCAGCAAGACUUGGAGUGGUCACCGGCUUGCAUCUUGCUGAAGUGUGUCACCGUCAGUAUCCCAAGGUCCCACGGAUCAUCCUGUGGCUGAUGGUGGAGUUGGCAAUCAUUGGUUCUGAUAUGCAGGAAGUCAUUGGCUCAGCUAUCGCCAUCAAUCUCCUAUCGGCAGGAAGGGUUCCCCUGUGGGGUGGAGUCCUCAUCACCAUCGCAGAUACUUUUGUAUUUCUCUUUCUGGACAAAUAUGGCUUGCGGAAGCUGGAAGCAUUUUUUGGCUUUCUCAUCACUAUCAUGGCCCUCACCUUUGGAUAUGAGUACAUUACAGUGAAGCCCAGCCAGAGCCAAGUACUCAGGGGCAUGUUCGUGCCGUCCUGUCCAGGCUGCCGCACCCCCCAGGUGGAGCAGGCCGUGGGUAUCGUGGGAGCCGUGAUCAUGCCACACAACAUGUACCUGCAUUCUGCCUUAGUCAAGUCUAGACAGGUGAACCGGGCCAAUAAGCAGGAAGUGCGGGAGGCCAAUAAGUACUUCUUCAUCGAGUCCUGCAUUGCGCUCUUUGUUUCCUUCAUCAUCAACGUCUUUGUUGUCUCCGUCUUUGCCGAAGCAUUUUUUGAGAAAACCAAUGAGCAGGUGGUUGAAGUCUGCAAAAAUAACAGCAGCCCCCAUGCUGACCUCUUUCCUGAUGACAACUCUACUCUGGCUGUGGACAUCUACAAAGGGGGUGUUGUGCUUGGAUGUUACUUCGGGCCUGCAGCUCUCUACAUCUGGGCAGUGGGGAUCCUGGCUGCCGGUCAGAGCUCCACCAUGACUGGAACCUAUUCUGGCCAGUUUGUUAUGGAGGGAUUCCUGAACCUAAGAUGGUCGCGCUUUGCCCGAGUGAUCCUGACCCGGUCUAUCGCCAUCAUCCCCACCCUGCUUGUUGCUGUCUUCCAAGAUGUGGAGCACCUAACAGGGAUGAAUGAUUUCCUGAAUGUUCUGCAGAGCUUACAGCUUCCCUUUGCUCUCAUACCCAUCCUCACGUUCACAAGCCUGCGGCCAGUGAUGAGUGAGUUUUCCAAUGGAAUAGGCUGGAGGAUCGCGGGUGGCAUCUUGGUCCUAAUCGUCUGCUCCAUCAACAUGUAUUUUGUGGUGGUUUACGUCCAGGAGCUGGGGCACGUGGCACUGUAUGUGGUGGCUGCAGUGGUUAGCGUGGCUUAUUUGACCUUUGUGUUCUACUUGGGUUGGCAGUGUUUGAUUGCAUUGGGCCUGUCUUUCCUGGACUGUGGACGCUCGUACCGCCUCGGACUGACCGCUCAGCCUGAACUCUACCUUCUGAACACCGUGGAUGCCGACUCACUGGUGUCUAGAUGACGAACACCCCAGGAGACUUCAGGAACACUCUCUAAGCCCUUUUGUGCCAAGUGUCUGUUAGCAAAUCCCUUAGUUCAGAGUCUCUCUCUGAACAUGGAACUAGCCAGCCGGUAUGUUCAAGGACCCUCCUGGCCUUGUGCCCCGACACUGGGGUCACCGAUCUGCUGCUACACCAGAUUUUACACAGUGCUGGGGACCCAAGCUCAGGUCUUCCUGGACAGCAGGUGGCCUCUGGCUCUCUUGCCACGUGUGGUCUCUAACUCCUGGACUCCCAGCAUCCUUCAUCACUCUCUGACAGCUGGAGCUGCAGGUGGGAGCUACCACAUCUGGCUGGUGUUUUCAUUUUCAAGAAACAGUAUUCUCUUCCCAUAUCCCUAAGGAUCUCCUUACACACUGGGCAAUGAGAUCUAUAAUUCAAAGGGCUAAUCAGGGUCUCACGUAGUCCAGGCCAGCCUUGAACUUACUUGCAGCUGAAGAUAACCAUGAACAUCUGAUGGGCCUGUCUACAUAGGGAGUGCUAGCCUCACAGGUGUGUGUCACGAUGCCUGGGUUUUCUGCCAUGUUAGGGUUGAAACCAAGGGCUUCCUACAUUCUGGGCUUUAUUCCUGGUCAUGGAGACAUUUGAAUGGGGAUUUCUGUCAGUAUACUGUGAGGUUAGCAGUUUGAGUCUAGAGUGACAACCCUGUUUCCCUUUAAGCCUCAACAUACAAUAAGAUAACAGCACCUGUCUAUCAUAGAGACUAGAUCUGAGUGGUAUUGUAUCAGCAGGAUUGAUCUGGUUCUUGCCCAGGAAUGGCAAAGAGCUUGUCAACAACUUGUAAUUGCAGGAGAAAUAACAGCAUCUGUUACUGAUGGCCCUCAUGGGUCACACCUCAUGGGUCACACCUGAACAGAGGCUAAUGCCAGUGAGAAUCCACCUGGCAUCAGAGGCUGGGAGCAGCUCCGUGGGGGACCACACCCUUAAACUCAGGGAACCUGAGACAUCAGCUCCAGGUGCUGGGGUCAGCCGUGGAUUGUAUCCCCACACAGCAGGUGGAGUCUGAGCAAGUUCUUAAUAAGCUUAGACCAUUAAUGACAACAGAUGAAUGGGGAAGGAAAAUGUGGUAUAUUUACACGGUGGGGUGGGGGUUGGUGUUUUCUCAGCCAAAAGAAUGAAGUUCUGAGCCGGGCGGUGGUGGCGCACGCCUUUAAUCCCAGCACUUGGGAGGCAGAGGCAGGCGGAUUUCUGAGUUCGAGGCCAGCCUGGUCUACAGAGU
This is an RNA transcript of Mastomys coucha (southern multimammate mouse), 3096 nucleotides long. It is a transcript of the gene named solute carrier family 11 member 2, with no coding region annotated. The record is from RefSeq and is a predicted model, not a curated record. Lineage: Eukaryota; Metazoa; Chordata; Mammalia; Rodentia; Muridae. The transcript is spliced from 19 exons.